This is a long non-coding RNA of Nematostella vectensis (starlet sea anemone), 1353 nucleotides long. RefSeq lists it as uncharacterized. The record is from RefSeq and is a predicted model, not a curated record. NCBI's taxonomy places the organism in Eukaryota, Metazoa, Cnidaria, Anthozoa, Actiniaria, Edwardsiidae. The transcript is spliced from 2 exons.
UGAAUCCAGCUCGCAAAUGAUUGGGUCCAUUAGGGUUUUGACUAGAGAAUAUUUAACCUGAAUGUCAUACAAUACUCAAAUAGUCGAGAAAAUGCUAAUGGACCCACGUUUCGGCAGACUAGAGAUCGUUGAAAAACGGUCAUAACGGCUAUGUUGUUGUACCCGCGCAAAGCACGGCCCAUGUUUACGUUGUGUUGUUGGUUCCAGAAUGUACUAUGGAAGGAGAAAAAAAAAUAAUAAUAAACGAACGCAUAAAGAAACCGGAGCUACUCCACACAAGCCAGCCGCCAAAAAGCCUGUGAGGAACAGUUUAGGAGUUGCGAGAAGCAGACGGUCUAUCGAUCUAAGCGGCAGCCAGCCAUCAGCAGUUGAGUAUCCACAGAGGCGUUGUAAUUCGCCAACCACUCUUCGUCGGCGAUUCCCUGCUAGCAGAGGCCUGUUUUUUCUGUAUUUCGCUGGGCUGGAGUUCGCAGCGAAAUACAGAGAAAAUGGGCCUCUGCUGGCAGGAACGUCGGCGAUCGGCUCGUCUUGAUACGGGAGAAACUCGUUUGCCGCUUCGUUUAUAGAUGUUGCCGUUCCUUGUAAAGAUUCUAUACAUUCCGGUUCGUUCUCUACGUCGGUCAACUCAUUUCCGAUAAUUCUGAAGACUUCGUAGAGCCAUUGUAACGUUUUCACUCGCGGUUCCUAGACGCCUUUGAGAUUGCUGACUGCAAGACUGCGACGCUAAAAGCGCAUAAAUAAUGCAACAGGAUUUUCGCGCCAUGGGCCCGCAAUGCAUUUUGCCGGUCAGCGACGGACGUGUUUUACGGUCGCGUGUAUAUCGCAUGUGUUUGAAAAGCUGCAAAAUAUUCGGGAUUGGAGGAAUUCGAAUUUUUUUUUCGGGAAAGUAAGCCUCAGAUAAUAUACAUUUUGCCCAAAACGGUCUUCCCUUUCCCUGGAGAUGCACUUUAAAUACAUGUGAAAUACAUCUAUAAAAAGCCAGGAGCAGAUCCAGCAGUACCAAUAAGAGAUGUCCUAAGCAAAGAUUUUAAGAAAAGAGGGAGCGGAGGUCAUUGCUCUUUUGAGCCUGAUUGGUCCACCUCUAGAAACUCCCAUAGAAGUAGCAAACAUCAGACAGGGUAUAUAGAUGUAUACUGACUGGUUGUUGUCUUGCUAUUCCACCAGCUGCUGUAGGCGGGUUCUUCUGCAAGAGUUGCUAAAGGGAGAUAACAGAAGCAUGUUUAGUAUCAAGGGUACAACAUUGGAACCAUGCAAUGAUCAAAUGCUAAUUAAAGGGGAACAGUAAGCCAUAACUUUAUUAUUAAUUUCACUCAAUAUUGGAAGAAAAUUAUGUGAAGAAAUAUUGAAACAACC